Hevea brasiliensis (rubber tree) is the source of this 1029-nucleotide long non-coding RNA. RefSeq lists it as uncharacterized. The transcript is spliced from 2 exons. Lineage: Eukaryota; Viridiplantae; Streptophyta; Magnoliopsida; Malpighiales; Euphorbiaceae. The record is from RefSeq and is a predicted model, not a curated record.
UAAAAAAGAAAAAAAGAAUAAUUUAUUGUAGGGAGAAGGAAAAACAAAUACAUAUAUCUCUCCCUUUAAUGAAGGAUAAAGGAAGAAAAGAGAUACCACUUAUGACCUACCUCAUGUAAACUGGACAGCAACGAGCUUUGUUGUGGGCAAUUGACUUUUCUUUUUCUUGGAAAAAUUGGGAGCAUGAAGCCAACUAUUUCCUGGAAAAAAACAAAUCCACUACUCUCCAAACCAACAACUAGGAAGACAACUGAAUUGAAAAACAUAUGAAAUCUACCCCGGAUAUCUACAUCAAUCACUAGUGUCAUACGCUACGUAUUCUAUUUUCUUCUUUAUAUAUACCUUUCAGUUAACAUUUGAUAACAAGGCACGUCUGGUGGGUGGCUCAAUCAAGUUUUUCCUUGGAUAGUUGCACGACUCGUGGAACUCUCAGUCUAAUAUUCUACGGUUCUUUAUCUUUUCUAUGCCAUACCUCUCUUUAAAAAGCAGUUUAAGCAAGCUCCCACACCCUCUGGUUCUCCUUCAAACUGACUGAGGGGAAAACUCCAAGAAUUGGUUGUAGUUGAUGGGAACAUGCAAGGAAAAUGAAGAGUUUGAGAGUGAUCGUAAAGAACCCAGGAAAAUUUUGAAGGCGUGCAUAGCUUGUUUGUGCUCAUUUUUGGUGAGCCUAUCAGGAGGGCUAAUUCUGGGUUAUUGGGAGUAUGAGUAUCACCUUACAAGUAGUCAGCUAUGGAUGGUGCCCUUUGGUCUUAUUCUUCUUGUUACUCCAGUGAUCAUUUUGGUGGCUCUUUUCGUCUCAGAAAUCUGUAUUUCGGAAGACGGCAACUCCAAAAGGAGUCAAGCCAUCAUUUCAUUAGAAGACUCAGAGAAAUGCUUGAAAGAAAUUGCAGUGUGUAAUUGAUUUGGGUUGCUAUAUGUUACAUCACUCGCUGUUAUAUAUUAGGAUUUGCUUUUGCUGAUGGUGCAUUAUUGUUCAUCUUAUAUAAAGCAUAAAUUUUAAGGUCAAAAUGAAAUUGAUUUGAUUGGACA